RNAcentral lists this ribosomal RNA (423 nucleotides) under uncultured bacterium. RNAcentral describes it as "bacterial SSU rRNA". It matches the Rfam family "Bacterial small subunit ribosomal RNA", at positions 207 to 622 of the family's 1533-position model. The record is from RNAcentral.
AAGACCUUGCACUUUUGGAGCGGCCGAUGUCUGAUUAGCUAGUUGGUGGGGUAAUGGCCUACCAAAGCUUCGAUCAGUAGCUGGUCUGAGAGGACGGCCAGCCACACUGGGACUGAGACACGGCCCAGACUCCUACGGGAGGCAGCAGUGGGGAAUUUUGGACAAUGGGCGCAAGCCUGAUCCAGCCAUGCCGCGUGAGUGAGGAAGGCCUUCGGGUUGUAAAGCUCUUUCAGCCGGGAAGAAAAGGUUGCGACUAAUAAUCGCAAUUCAUGACGGUACCGAAAGAAGAAGCACCGGCUAACUACGUGCCAGCAGCCGCGGUAAUACGUAGGGUGCGAGCGUUAAUCGGAAUUACUGGGCGUAAAGGGUGCGCAGGCGGUUUUGUAAGUCAGAUGUGAAAUCCCCGGGCUUAACCUGGGAACU